GAAAUUGUUGUUUCAUAAAACUAAGAUCUUCCCACGUGGCUUCUGCCGGUGAGAGCCCUUGCCAAUGGACCAAUAGUUUUUGUUUCUUCUUUCUUGUUCUAUGAUAGAGUAUUGCAUAAGGUUUAGCAAUCAGCACCUCAUCACCCUCUCUGAUCAAGGGAAUUUGAGUUUGAACAGUUGUAUUCAUCCCAAUUUGCUUUUUAAGGAGAGAAACAUGGAAAACUGGAUGAAUUCGAGAGUUGGGUGGCAAUUCCAAUUUGUAAGCUACCGCUCCAAUUCACUGUAAGAUCUUGAAGGGACCGUAAUAUUUUGGAGAUAGUUUCAAAUUCCGUCUCAUGGCCACCGAUAAUUGCCGAUGCGGUUGCAACUUCAAAUACGUCAUAACUCCAAUUGAAAAUUCUCUCUCGGCGCUUGCCGUCAUAGACGUGUUUCAUCCUAGCUUGUGCUUCUUUGAUUUGCUCUUUCAAAUCCUUGAUAACCUUGUCUCGAUCACAUAAUUCUUGUUCCACUAGAGCGACCCUGGCUGUUCUUGGUACAUAGGUUAGAAGAGUGGGUGGGGCUCACCCAUAUACCUCUUCAAAGGGUGUUCUUUUGUUGGUUAAAUGCCAACUGGUAUUGUAGCAAAACUUUGCCCACAUUAGCCACUUGGCC
This 651-nucleotide long non-coding RNA is filed under the name Amborella trichopoda. Its description in RNAcentral is "long non-coding RNA (ATRI_LNC000315)". Lineage: Eukaryota; Viridiplantae; Streptophyta; Magnoliopsida; Amborellales; Amborellaceae. The record is from RNAcentral.